AGCCUGAGUUGGACCUUGUCAUCGAGGAGCUGGAGCAGCUGAGACUUGGCUGACUUGGCCAAUGGACCUGACUGGCUCCAGUCUCUGGCAGAACAAGAGAGAAGGCCCCAAGGGGUCACCUAGCCACCCACCCACUGAGCAGCCUCCCCCUCAGCUUGGAACCUGGACCCUGGCUCAACUUGAAUUCCUGGCCUCCACUGGUCUUUUUCUCUGGAGCUGCAUUUUCAGUCUCUGUGUGACCCUCAGCCAAUCCCCAACUCUUUGGAGCCCUGUUUCUGAGGAUUGAGUGAGAAAAUGUAAGUCCUGGC
This is a long non-coding RNA of Prionailurus viverrinus (fishing cat), 308 nucleotides long. RefSeq lists it as uncharacterized. Lineage: Eukaryota; Metazoa; Chordata; Mammalia; Carnivora; Felidae. The transcript has 3 exons. The record is from RefSeq and is a predicted model, not a curated record.